RNAcentral lists this ribosomal RNA (439 nucleotides) under uncultured bacterium. RNAcentral describes it as "partial 16S ribosomal RNA". It matches the Rfam family "Bacterial small subunit ribosomal RNA", at positions 338 to 795 of the family's 1533-position model. The record is from RNAcentral.
CCUACGGGUGGCAGCAGUGGGGAAUAUUGCACAAUGGGCGAAAGCCUGAUGCAGCAACGCCGCGUGAGGGAUGAAGGCUUUCGGGUUGUAAAGCUCUGUCCUCAAGGAAGCUAAUGACGGUAAUUGAGGAGGAAGCCCCGGCUAACUACGUGCCAGCAGCCGCGGUAAUACGUAGGGGGCUCGCGUUAUCCGGAUUUACUGGGGGUAAAGGGUGCGUAGGCGGUUUCUAAAGCCAGAGGUGAAAGGCGACGGUUAAACCGGAGUGAGCCUUUGAAACUGGGGGACUUGAGUGCAGGAGAGGAGAGUGGAAUUCCUGGGGUAGCGGUGAAAUGCGUAGAUAUCAGGAGGAACACCAGUGGCGAAGGCGGCUUUCUGGACUGUAACUGACGCUGAGGCACGAAAGCGUGGGGAGCAAACAGGAUUAGAUACCCCAGUAGUC